GAUGAACGCUGGCGGCGUGCCUAAUACAUGCAAGUCGAGCGAACAGACGAGGAGCUUGCUCCUCUGACGUUAGCGGCGGACGGGUGAGUAACACGUGGAUAACCUACCUAUAAGACUGGGAUAACUUCGGGAAACCGGAGCUAAUACCGGAUAAUAUAUUGAACCGCAUGGUUCAAUAGUGAAAGACGGUUUUGCUGUCACUUAUAGAUGGAUCCGCGCCGCAUUAGCUAGUUGGUAAGGUAACGGCUUACCAAGGCAACGAUGCGUAGCCGACCUGAGAGGGGGAAGGGGGAAAUAGGAAAUAGCAGACGGUGCAGGAAGGUAGGGGGGGCAGAGGUAGGGGGUUGUGCGCAGUGGGCGAAAUGGUAACGGUGGAACGGAAGGGGAGAUGAGAAGGGCCUGUGAUUGGAAAAGUCUGGUAGUAGGGAAAAACAAAUGUGUAAGUAACUAAGGGCGGCGUGGCGGUACCGAAACAGAAAGACCAGGCUAACCACCU
RNAcentral lists this ribosomal RNA (496 nucleotides) under uncultured bacterium. Its description in RNAcentral is "partial 16S ribosomal RNA". It matches the Rfam family "Bacterial small subunit ribosomal RNA", at positions 28 to 506 of the family's 1533-position model. The record is from RNAcentral.